GUAGGUGGCAAGCGUUGUCCGGAAUUAUUGGGGCGUAAAGCGCGCGCAGGCGGGUCCUUUAAGUCUGAUGUGAAAGCCCACGGGCUCAACCGUGGAGGGUCAUUGGAAACUGGGGGACUUGAGUACAGAAGAGGAAAGCGGAAUUCCAGGUGUAGCGGUGAAAUGCGUAGAGAUUUGGAGGAACACCAGUGGCGAAGGCGGCUUUCUGGUCUGUAACUGACGCUGAGGCGCGAAAGCGUGGGGAGCAAACAGGAUUAGAUACCCUGGUAGUCCACGCCGUAAACGAUGAGUGCUAAGUGUUAGGGGGUUUCCGCCCCUUAGUGCUGCAGCUAACGCAUUAAGCACUCCGCCUGGGGAGUACGGCCGCAAAGGCUG
RNAcentral lists this ribosomal RNA (375 nucleotides) under uncultured organism. Its description in RNAcentral is "partial 16S ribosomal RNA". It matches the Rfam family "Bacterial small subunit ribosomal RNA", at positions 527 to 896 of the family's 1533-position model. The record is from RNAcentral.